GAUGAACGCUGGCGGCGUGCCUAAUACAUGCAAGUCGAGCGAACAGACGAGGAGCUUGCUCCUCUGACGUUAGCGGCGGACGGGUGAGUAACACGUGGAUAACCUACCUAUAAGACUGGGAUAACUUCGGGAAACCGGAGCUAAUACCGGAUAAUAUAUUGAACCGCAUGGUUCAAUAGUGACAGACGGUUUUGCUGUCACUUAUCGAUGGAUCCGCGCCGCAUUAGCUAGUUGGUAAGGUAACGGCUUACCAAGGCGACGAUGCGUAGCCGACCUGAGAGGGUGAUCGGCCACACUGGAACUGAGACACGGUCCAGACUCCUACGGGAGGCAGCAGUAGGGAAUCUUCCGCAAUGGGCGAAAGCCUGACGGAGCAACGCCGCGUGAGUGAUGAAGGUCUUCGGAUCGUAAAACUCUGUUAUUAGGGAAGAACAAAUGUGUAAGUAACUAUGCACGUCUUGACGGUACCUAAUCAGAAAGCCACGGCUAACUACGUG
This 497-nucleotide ribosomal RNA is filed under the name uncultured bacterium. RNAcentral describes it as "partial 16S ribosomal RNA". It matches the Rfam family "Bacterial small subunit ribosomal RNA", at positions 28 to 507 of the family's 1533-position model. The record is from RNAcentral.